UCGGUGGCUGUGCUGCACGCUGAGAGAAGGUGGCCCCCGUGGGCAGAGGAGAUCAAUGCACAGCCUGCGCGCUCAGCACCAAUAAUGGGAUUCUUCUGAUGGGAGGCUGGAAACAUCCUUGCAGGGGCUGUCUUUAGCACGCUGCCUACAGGUCUCAUUUUUUUUUCUUUUCUGAUUUUGUAUCUUCAGGUCACACGAUUUUUGGAUGGGCAGUCAACAGCUGCAAGUGGACACACACCCAUUACUUCUGGAGACUCGAGGCAUGAAAUAGCUAGGAGUGAUGGUGCAGGCCUGUCCGUCAGUCUAGCACUCAGAAAGCAGGCUGAGGACUGACAUCAUUCACAGAGAACGGAUACAGGACAGAUGGUGUGAUGAAUACAUCGAACUUUUCUCCUGUCCCCUACCCAGCCCAGCGCCCCUUGCUCUGACGGAUCUUGUUUUGAUUCAGAGGAAAGGGUGGCAGCUGACAGAGCUCACCUGAAGAUCCUGGUGCAGAAUGGGAGCAGAAAUAGACCGAGACCCAUCCCCAGUACCAAUAAAAGGAAACAAUAAUUUUGUUGUUCUCUGUGUGUGGCAUAGUCCGUCCUGGACACAGACCUCCUCCUUCCAAAGAUCUGGAGGGAUUUUCAGCUUCUCUUCCUGAAUUUGGUGGAGUAUGAGAGCUUUGUGGACCCCUUGAUUGGACUUCUCCCAGGAGCACACCUGCAUUCCUUCCUUGACCCUCGGGCCCCCUUCUCACAUGU
This is a long non-coding RNA of Meriones unguiculatus (Mongolian gerbil), 743 nucleotides long. RefSeq lists it as uncharacterized. The transcript has 3 exons. NCBI's taxonomy places the organism in Eukaryota, Metazoa, Chordata, Mammalia, Rodentia, Muridae. The record is from RefSeq and is a predicted model, not a curated record.